Erinaceus europaeus (western European hedgehog) is the source of this 149-nucleotide small nuclear RNA. Its record names the gene U12. It matches the Rfam family "U12 minor spliceosomal RNA". Rfam says of the family: Although the U12 sequence is very divergent from that of U2, the two are functionally analogous. Lineage: Eukaryota; Metazoa; Chordata; Mammalia; Eulipotyphla; Erinaceidae. The record is from Ensembl.
AUACCUUAAACUUUUAAGUAAUGAAAAUAACGGUUCAAGGUGACUACCAAAUUCUCAUGCUAACGUAAGACGAAUUUUUGAGCUGGUAAAGGUCACCCUUAAGGUUACCUGCCUACUUUGUGGGAUGCCUGGGAGCUGUGAUUUUCCCC